Molecule: ribosomal RNA, 464 nt
Filed under: uncultured bacterium
Lineage: Bacteria
Description: partial 16S ribosomal RNA
Rfam family: Bacterial small subunit ribosomal RNA
Source: RNAcentral
CCUACGGGUGGCAGCAGUGGGGAAUAUUGCGCAAUGGGCGAAAGCCUGACGCAGCGACGCCGCGUGAGGGAUGAAGGUCUUCGGAUCGUAAACCUCUGUCAGCAGGGAAGAACGGUCACUGUGCUAAUCAGCAGUGAAUUGACGGUACCUGCAAAGGAAGCACCGGCUAACUCCGUGCCAGCAGCCGCGGUAAUACGGAGGGUGCGAGCGUUAAUCGGAAUUACUGGGCGUAAAGCGCUCGUAGGCGGUAUGUUAAGUCAGCGGUAAAAGCCCGGGGCUCAACCCCGGCGAGCCGUUGAAACUGGCGGGCUGGAGUUGGAGAGAAGUACGCGGAAUGCGCGGUGUAGCGGUGAAAUGCUUAGAUAUCGCGCAGAACCCCGAUUGCGAAGGCAGCGUACCGGCUCCACACUGACGCUGAGGCACGAAAGCGUGGGUAUCGAACAGGAUUAGAUACCCGAGUAGUC